CAUGUUUGGUUUUUAUGAAUACUCGUGCCAGCCACGCAUAAAUUCCUUAGCGCGAAAAUCCCUAGCAAAACCGUGUGGCGAGAAAUAAAAUUUUGAAAUGCAAAAGAAAAUACCGUACGGCAUUUUGAUACGGCCAUUACAAUUACAAACCACGCGGAAGAUGUGUCGAACCGAUCACAAAGUCAACAAGCAGCGGUAAAUACCCUCGUGGAAACGUUACAGAACCAAAUGAAAUCGUCCGCAGCACGAUUGGCACGCUCUCAACCAUCUAACUAUAUACGCAAAUGCAUAUGUAUAUGUGUAUGUUGUAUCUCAUCGAUUCUUUCACCUUCACGAAGGUUAACGAGUGAGAUGCAGCCAGCCAUUUGUAAGGAUUUAAUCAAAAGUGAACGGCCUAAUGCGAAAACGUUAAUCACAAAUACAUACAUAAUUCGAAAGUAUUCCUCUCUUCUUUUAUAAUAUGCAAUCUUUUAGAUAUACAUCGUACCGAACAAAAGUCUGUAAUUAAGUGUUGCAUUCUUAAGGUAGAGAGACGAAGUUCGAAAAUCAACAUUAAAGCCGUAUCGAUUCUAAAUUUCAUUACGCAACGUAGCGUAAUUUUAACCACACAUAAUUAUCUAACGAUGAAAUUCCUCUUAAGAUGAAAUGCUCAACUUUUUCGUUAUACGAGUACAAUAUUGGUAACAGCUGUCUACAGUAUACUCGAAAAAAUGUAAUUUCACGUUGAACCCACGUAUUUCAAUAUUGUACAUUUAUCAUCAGUGAGUCAGAAUACAUCAUGAGUGGAUUUGUUUUAAGAAUACACUUAACCAUCGUCGUCGUUUUCCUCUUUCGUAUUUCAUUCGACGUGCGAACGAAAAAUACUUAAAUACCAGUUACACGACAAUAAUUCAGCAGAAAGUUUUAGCUCUACUAAAGUAACGUACUGAGUCGAUAAAGAAGAACACACCCUUUUCAAUGUUACAUAGCAGAAGAGAAAAAGAAAGAAAUUUUUAAUAAAAGGUCGUUGCACGAAUACGAUGUUAAUUAGCUGUUCCAAUUAGAUAGCAGAUUUGGCGCGAUACAAUAAAAAAAUUUGAUGUGUACCGAAUAUUUCCUCGCGAGCUAUAAAUGGAAACAGUGACAGAACCGCGCGAUAUGUUUGGUUUAAAAAUAUACGUUCAGUUGUGUCUUCGAUU
Molecule: long non-coding RNA, 1178 nt
Organism: Eufriesea mexicana
Lineage: Eukaryota; Metazoa; Arthropoda; Insecta; Hymenoptera; Apidae
Exons: 4
Source: RefSeq, a predicted model, not a curated record